RNAcentral lists this unclassified non-coding RNA (264 nucleotides) under uncultured Nocardiaceae bacterium. RNAcentral's name for it is "contains 16S-23S intergenic spacer region". Lineage: Bacteria; Bacillati; Actinomycetota; Actinomycetes; Mycobacteriales; Nocardiaceae. The record is from RNAcentral.
UCCGAUUUGGCACCACCUGUAUACCGACCACAAGGGGGGCCGUAUCUCUACGGCUUUCCGGUAUAUGUCAAACCCAGGUAAGGUUCUUCGCGUUGCAUCGAAUUAAUCCACAUGCUCCGCCGCUUGUGCGGGCCCCCGUCAAUUCCUUUGAGUUUUAGCCUUGCGGCCGUACUCCCCAGGCGGGGCGCUUAAUGCGUUAGCUACGGCACGGAUCCCGUGGAAGGAAACCCACACCUAGCGCCCACCGUUUACGGCGUGGACUAC